Molecule: transfer RNA, 73 nt
Organism: Ovis aries (sheep)
Lineage: Eukaryota; Metazoa; Chordata; Mammalia; Artiodactyla; Bovidae
Rfam family: tRNA
About the family: Transfer RNA (tRNA) molecules are approximately 80 nucleotides in length. Their secondary structure includes four short double-helical elements and three loops (D, anti-codon, and T loops).
Source: Rfam
UCCCUGGUGGUCCAGUGGUUAAGACUCUGUGCUUCUAAUGCAGGGGAUGAGGGUUCAAUCCCUGAUUAGGGAA